Long non-coding RNA from Myotis brandtii (Brandt's bat), 999 nucleotides. RefSeq lists it as uncharacterized. The transcript is spliced from 6 exons. The record is from RefSeq and is a predicted model, not a curated record. NCBI's taxonomy places the organism in Eukaryota, Metazoa, Chordata, Mammalia, Chiroptera, Vespertilionidae.
UCCAUCUGCACCAGCAGCUCUGUCUUCAUCCGAAGGCUUCCUUCGUGCUCUCCCCUAGAGAGAGAAAGGAGAGGCAAGAUAAUGACAUGGGAGGCAGUCUUCUGUGAAAAUUCAUCCUCCAAGCUCCCAUCACCACUGCCAAAGACCUUCCCACCAACAAAGAGCUCACUUCAGGAUCUGAACAUCCAGAUGGGCUCUACUAGUAAAUACUGACCAUAUCUGGCAGGCUGUCCUUCCUCUUCACUUGAAUAGAUGGCCAUAAAGGACAAAAAAUGGCUGUCUUGAACAACAUGAAAUUCAACUUCUCAUCUCUGCAUGAAUCUUGGGGCACCCCAAACCAGAAUCCUAUUCAUUUGACCACGACAACAGGCUCAGCCUAAUGAACUGAAAGAAGAGCGUCAAUGCUGGGACACUCAUCACACAUAUAGAGACCACCUUACUAGAAGCAAGUAACUUGUUCUCUUGUCACAAUGGCAGCAAUCUUCCCAAUGAAAAGUUGGAUAUUAGAACUCUUUAUUAGAACCAUACAUGUUUUUAAGGAGCUCCCUGGGGUGCAGUGAGACCAAGGGGCAAGAUGAGACCAAACAUCCAAGUGGAAGGAGAACCACAUCUGGAGCCUCUGUUUCCAUAUAGACCACGCCACUGCCCUUUCCACUGCCAGAGAAUAUACAGAAUCCUGGAGCCUAUGAUACCAUGGAGAUAGCACAUCCAGAGAGCUUCAAUGAGAUGUUCUAGCCUAUCCAAAAGUCUUGUUCUAGAGCCACUCAGAGGACAUGUGAUCACUCCCUACUUCCACCAAGAGCAAUUGCUUCUACAGAAUUCAAGGAAGCCAACAACCAAGCAAAAUUAUCCAUCCUGAUCCCAGCCAUUUGCUAUCCAACCUUCAUGCUUGCGGGUACAAACAUCUACUCAGAGGAGAGCUGAAGGAACCCCAAGCCAUCAACCUCUAUCCCAAAAGGGAAGCAAAGCUCUCCAAUGACAUUCACUCACAGAAUGUUC